This is a non-coding RNA of Hymenopellis radicata, 85 nucleotides long. NCBI's taxonomy places the organism in Eukaryota, Fungi, Basidiomycota, Agaricomycetes, Agaricales, Physalacriaceae. The record is from the annotation of a GenBank genome assembly.
UCUCUGAUAGUAUAUCGGUUAGUACACGCGCCUGUCAAUGAUUGAAAUGACGCGCGAAAGCUGGGUUCGACUCCCAGUCAGAGAG